AUGCCCACAGGAGGGUCCCCUCUCCCGAAUGCCAUUGGAGCCCUUGUCAGUUGUGCAUGCCCCCUAAGAAUUAGAAAAAUGCAUCUUCAAAAUAAAAGCUGGCUUCCGACCCCCAUGCACACCAGUGCUCAGGGUUGGGUCAACAAUAAUCUAGAACCAAGGAAGAGUGUACACCGCGUGGAAGGUUUUGUCAUCGUCGCGACUGUGUUUAUGAUCGCCCUUGCCAUUCUCUCGCCCAGGAGGCGUCAAUCUCGGAGCAUCAUUAUAAGAUAUGGAGUGGGCGGAGUGUUUAUAUUAUCCUUCCCACUUCUCUCCUACACUGUGGGACUGAUGCAGGCGGGGAAAAUUAAAAACGAGUUGUACCCGGUGUGGGCAAUGUUUCUGGCCAUGCUUUUUGGAGGCACCCGCUCAAUGUCUGUCCAGAAGCUCGAUCAAAACAAGCAACUCAUGAAGCUCUACUGUGAUUGUCUCUUGUUCACGAUGUGCAGUGCCACGGUAUCAGGUGGUUUUAUUUAUACAUUCGGUAUGAAGCAUAGUUCCAGUCGCCUUGUUCCCAUUGGUUGCUUGUUCGUCGUGGGAUUUCUAUUGGGAAUUAAAACGGCUGAGCAGUUUGGUGCUGCAUUGUUAGCAAGCAAACCAUCAUCGGACAAUGGAAUCAAGUGGCUGGCCCGCUACAUGAAGGGUGAGCACAUACUCAGCACAUCCUACGACCCUCGUACCAUGCAGGGAUACAAGUACCCGGUUCUAAUCCAUUCUGGGCGGGCAACAAUUGGAGAAAAUGCAAUAACACUGGAUAACAUUUGGUGUGACAACAUCGGUAUCUUGUCAUCUUACUAUAGUGCUCCUAUCCGUCGUCUCAAGGAUCUGUGUCUCUCAUUCGCAUUGUUCCAUCUGGUGGUUCGGCGAUACUUUGGCUACACUUGUCCUGAAUCUGGGCUUGACAAGACUCGUGAUCUUGUUCUUGAUGGGCUAUUGCAAAGAGCAUUUCAAGUGAUUGAAGCAGAGUUGGCUUUCCUCUACGAUUUCUUGUUCACCAAAUAUGCCUUCAUAAUGUAUGGCAAUGAGCUAAGGCAAGCCUGUGGAGUUGCCAAUGCAAGUGAAGAGGGCAGUGGCACGGACUAUCAGAAACUCGACAAACGGCCAUCUUUCACAUGGAACCUCCGCACUAAUGAGACACGGCAUGAGUGA
RNAcentral lists this ribosomal RNA (1188 nucleotides) under Triticum aestivum (bread wheat). RNAcentral's name for it is "partial small subunit ribosomal RNA". Lineage: Eukaryota; Viridiplantae; Streptophyta; Magnoliopsida; Poales; Poaceae. The record is from RNAcentral.